This 405-nucleotide ribosomal RNA is filed under the name uncultured bacterium. Its description in RNAcentral is "partial 16S ribosomal RNA". It matches the Rfam family "Bacterial small subunit ribosomal RNA", at positions 28 to 526 of the family's 1533-position model. The record is from RNAcentral.
GACGAACGCUGGCGGCGUGCUUAACACAUGCAAGUCGAGCGGAGCGGCGAACGGGUGAGUAACGCGUGAGUAACCGCCCCCCUCUCUGGGAUAACAGUUGGAAACGGCUGCUAAUACCGGAUAGUGGGGGAUGACUCGCGUCCUAUCAGCUUGUUGGUGGGGUAGUGGCCUACCAAGGCGACGACGGGUAGCCGGCCUGGGGGGGGGACCGGCCACAUUGGUCUAAGAUACGGCGCAAUCUCGUACGGGGGGCAGCAGUGGGGAACAUUGCACAAUGGGGGAAACCCUGAUGCAGCAGCGCCGCGUGCGGGAUGUCGGCCUGCGGGUUGUAAACCGCUUUCAGCCAUGACGCGGUAGUGGCAGAAGAAGCACCGGCUAACUACGUGCCAGCAGCCGCGGUAAUAC